UCGGGAAUUUUGGGCAAUGGGCGAAAGCCUGACCCAGCAACGCCGCGUGAAGGAUGAAGUCUCUCGGGAUGUAAACUUCGUAAGAAUAGGAAGAAUAAAUGACGGUACUAUUUGUAAGGUCCGGCUAACUGCGUGCCAGCAGCCGCGGUAAUACGUAGGGACCAAGCGUUGUUCGGAUUUACUGGGCGUAAAGGGCGCGUAGGCGGCGUGGUAAGUCACUUGUGAAAUCUCCGAGCUUAACUCGGAACGGUCAAGUGAUACUGCUGUGCUAGAGUACAGAAGGGGCAAUCGGAAUUCUUGGUGUAGCGGUGAAAUGCGUAGAUAUCAAGAGGAACACCUGAGGUGAAGACGGGUUGCUGGGCUGAUACUGACGCUGAGGCGCGAAAGCUAGGGUAGCAAACGGGAUUAGAUACCCCCGUAGUCCCUGAGCGGGCUGGCAAGGCGCAU
This 447-nucleotide ribosomal RNA is filed under the name uncultured bacterium. RNAcentral's name for it is "bacterial SSU rRNA". It matches the Rfam family "Bacterial small subunit ribosomal RNA", at positions 355 to 825 of the family's 1533-position model. The record is from RNAcentral.